This is a long non-coding RNA of Megalobrama amblycephala (Wuchang bream), 933 nucleotides long. RefSeq lists it as uncharacterized. Lineage: Eukaryota; Metazoa; Chordata; Actinopteri; Cypriniformes; Xenocyprididae. The record is from RefSeq and is a predicted model, not a curated record. The transcript is spliced from 8 exons.
AAACCGACGGAUUAGCUCUAUUUGUGGGGCACCCUUAUGAUUUGAAAUGAUUCGUUUCAGUCUUUUUGAAAGGAUUUCCCCAAACCGGAAGUGCCACCCAUAAUUCAAAAUGCAGUAGGCUCGUCAGGAAUAAGGUGGGGCAGUGUUUAGCGAAGAGUCACGUACGUUGAGCUUCUGUGAAGCGUUGGGUCACGUUUCCAUGUCCACUGUAGAUCCGCAUGUCCAGGGAGCGUGAGGAACUCGUCGGAAUUUGCCUAAUGACCCAGAGGUGUUAGACUGAGCUUCCUGUCUGACCAUCAGAGCCAAACAAGAUGAGUUGACUGUACAGGAAAUGAACACACAGCGUGACGAGGUCAUAAGAUAGGAAUACCUGCUCAAGAAGGCCCAACUGCAAAGCCCCACCACAGAGACGUCUUCCAAUCACACAUGUGACAGCAGUGCUUACAUCAGCGCAGCGAGGUGAGGAGGGUCAUUAUUAUCACAUUAUUCUCAUCCCCUCAUCACCAGUCAGUCAUCCGUCGCUCCGCUCUGUCUCUGAUCUACUGGGAGUCCUGGCAUAGAUCUACACAUCAUCCAGUGCACUGGCCCUCGUCCCCGGAGAACAUUUGGAGAACAGAAGAACAAGCACAGCCAGGCGCAGAGGGACACAUUAGAUGCACACACUGAAUGGGCCGCUGUCUUCCCCUCACAUCCUUCCUUUCAUUGUGCCAUUUACCUCGACAGAGUCUUCUCAUCUUCUUCAAGGUGUCUUUGAGACGGCCUCUGUUAAAACGACCAGAUGAGCAGUUUGAUUUGCAGUCUGCAGAUGCAGGGCAUAAAUAUGAUGCUUUGUGGACAAGAGCAUCUGCUUAAUGCCUUGAAUGUAAAAUUAAAUAAAAAACUUACUAAGCACAACCGAACAGACUGACAUGCAGGUUUGUGUAUUAUUAUGUU